UUAUUAUUAGUCAGCAUACAAAUAUAGAAACAGAAACAAUUGUGAACAUGGCUCCCAAAGCACUCUCUUAUUCAUUUUCCUUCAUUGCAAGGCUUCUGUCAUUCACACCCCACUGUGAUGUCACCAUCUGUAGCCCUAGACCUGCCUGCCACCAGUGUGUGUGUGAGUGAAUGCACCAUCUGUCCUCAAUGGGCCUCCCCUUGAUGCUGUUAUAUACGCUGCUUCCUGUCCUCCUCCACUCUUCCUUUGGGUUUUUCAAAUGCCAUCUCACUUAUUUUUACUGUAUUGAAAUGUUUGGAUCAAAAUUUGAAAUGUUUGUUGAAAUGUUUUGAUUGCAGUUUAUGGAUUUUUCUGAAACUUUUCCACACUGUCAAUUCAACCACAUCCUAAAUGAUGUUUUGUGUUUACUAACAUUAUGAAAAUGGUGGAAAUGGUUGAAAGGGAAAUUACAUUUUAAGCAUUUUUAGGAUUAAAAUGAGAGAGAGAGAGAGAGAGAGAGAGAGAGAGAGAGAGAGAGAGAGAGAGAGAGAGAGAGAUUAUUAUGACAAAAUUGUUGGCAGUAAAAUUUGAGUGGAUAUCAUACUUAUAUGAUGGAUUUUCAUAUUUUAAUACUGAAAGUCUGGGAUAAUGGAAAAAUGAUACAUAAAAUAACAAUCGCAAAUGUUGAAGACAUUGUAAAGAAAUAAUUAAAUAAAAUAACUCUGAAUGUGUUUUAAAUCUAUAUAAAUACGCACAAAUAAAAAAACCAACCCCUCAGACAUAAAAGCGCCUUUAGUUGAAGAAAUACCCAUAUGAUAUACUAAUAUGGUAUUGUGAAUACUAUAUUGAUCUAUUUGAUGUCUUUCCAAUAUAAUUGUCCAUAUGUGAGCUCAUUGUAGGCACGGGCAAGACAUGGACAAAGGCCUUUUCUUACAAAGAUAACAAACUCACACACACAUACAUACAAAGAUAAUACCCCUCCCCUGCCAAACUGCCCCUCGACCUCCCCUCUCACCCCCAAAUCUACCCUCAUUGUCACUAAUCUCAUCCCAAGAUGUUAUCAGCUGUGCAUGUGUGUGUGUGUGUGUGUGUGUGUGUUAUCUGCUGCACUGGUUAUCUUAGAAUAGGUCAAAACAGCAGAGUGCUGCUACCGGUAACUUUCACCUCAGGUUAAACUCUAGUGUGCUUGUAAGCGUGCAGACACACGCAUUUAAACACCCCGGCAAAGUGUUCAGACUCUUUUAAAAAAUUACGGCCAAUCUCUGCGCCAUUCAUCCCACUGCCAUUAUGACGUUACCUCUCACUUGUUCACUGAGAUUAAACCCUGAGAACUGAUUACACUUUUUUUGUUCUGUCGUCCAUUCACCCUAGUUUUCCUUUUCUUUUUCUCUGGCUAUUAAGGAUGACAUGACCUAAUCUAGGAUCAGCACUCUUACCGCACUAUUUUCUUGACCCCCCUCUCUCUUCCUUUAGUCUUUCGCCUCCUUUUUUCUGCAUCCUCCACCAUCUCUUAAUCAGCUCACUUUACCUUGUUCCCUCUUUCUUUCUUCUACUCACCCAUCCACUUUUCUAUAUAGUUUGUCUCUUUCAAUCCCCUCACCAUUCAAACACUAUCAUAUGCUAGACUAACAUGUGAAUUAGCUAAUUGGCCUUUGCUGUUCUGUCUCGUAUGUUCGUUCAUCCGUUCUUUUCUCACUCUUUGUUACAUCUCAGUCACCCUGCGUCCGCAUUAGUGUGAGAAACUAAGUACUCAUGAAAGCAUGCUAACUCUGUGUUUUGUUUCUCUGUAAUAAAUAAGCUAAUGUCUGGGAGCGACGGUAUAUCCUGACUCUUGUUUUUCAUCUCUCAUUUUGUUAUUUUUCUCCUGUGUAGCGUGUGAUUGAAAGCUCGAGCUUCCCCCUCUCUCAUGUGAACGAGGGAUGACAGAGAGCUACAUGAGCCUUGCCGGCGGGAGGAAGGAAAAUUAGACGGUGGAUAAAUACACAGAGCAGGUGUUGAACGAAAACAGUCAUUAAUAUAAUGCCACGUGUCUGAUUUGGCUUUGUGGUUACACUGCUUCGGCAUCUUACAUAUGUGUCAGAUAGAAGCCAUAUAGUUCAAAUCAUAUACAAACAUGAAUUUGGCAAUGUGCAUGUGAGUUUAAACAAUUUCAAACAAUGAAACAAAUGUGAAGCCGUUGCUUCAAAUCAUAGUUUUUCGGAACUGUCAGUUAUAAAAAAAUGUAAAAAAAUAGAAACCUUUGUCUCCUUUAAAAACGCAAUCCUUUUUCUUCUUGAUUUGUCUUUGGCGCUCCUUUUGAUGUUGUAACAUAUUUAUGUGAAUUCUGUAUAUGUCAAACUCUCAAAACAUUCAUUGUUUAUGUCUACAUUUGUUUCAGAGUAUAAACUUUACAUACCCAGAAACAAUUCCUGAGAUCUUCUGACAAAAGAGAGAUUUCUUAAUCUUCAGCUUGCAAGUUCUAAUAGAGCGAUAUCAGAUCAAAUACACAUGCGACAGAUGAACCGUAUUGUGCUGGUUGUAAAUAUUUGCGAGUUCGUGUCACGAGUAUGAGAGAAUGUGCGUUUUAAUAGUGAAAUCAGAUUAGGCGCAGAUCACAAUCCACACACACAGUUUUCCUGAGGGCAGGUACAGUGAUAUACUUCACUUUGUUGUCAUGAAACACAACCCUUCCCCCAGGCCUCACAGAUAAAGAACCUCACACACAAGUUUUGUUUUAAGAUUACCAGAUAUAUUUGUGCUAUAAAAACAAUUAUUGGUAACACAAUUAUUAUUAAGUCAUCGCCAAACAUUAUGUACUGAUUAUAGGUUUUAGUAGCCUGUUUCCACCUGUUUUGUCAAACAAAAACUGCUAUAUAUUUCACAGUGUCACUAUAUAUCUUGCAACUGCAGUAUUUCUCAUUACUGUGACUUAAUAUACUACUGUUCAAUAGUCAGUAAUAUUUUUAUAAAUGCCAAGACUGCAUUUAUUUGAUCAAAAAUAAAGUAAGAACAGCAAUAUUGUGAAAUAUUACAAUUUAAAGUAACAUUUUAAAAACUUUUUAAAAUAUAAUUUAUUCCUGUGAUGUCAAAGCUGAAUUUAGCAGAUAUGCCAGUCUUCAGUGCCACAUGAUUUUGAUGUGUUGCUCAAGAAACUUGAGCUGAUUAGUAUUUUUGUGGAAACUGAUUUUUUUUUUUUUUUUUUUUACAAAUAAAGUACAAAUAAACAGCAUAUCUUGCAUUUCCCCCUCAUAUUCUGUAUUUCCCAUUUAUCCAAUUAUACACACUUACCUAUAUUUUUCAGAAUUAAAAAUGGGGCAACAUAUGAAGUUUAAUUUUU
Molecule: long non-coding RNA, 3295 nt
Organism: Cyprinus carpio carpio
Lineage: Eukaryota; Metazoa; Chordata; Actinopteri; Cypriniformes; Cyprinidae
Source: Ensembl